UGAAAAAUCCUGAAAAAUUCUCUAAAAUUUCCAGAUUCUGAAAGAUUCCCAAAGUUAGAAAUUUAGGAAAAUUCCCAAGUUUUGACCCCUGAAAGUUCCCAAAAAUCCUAAACAAUUCCUUAAAAUUUCCCGAUUCCCGCAGGUUUAGAGUUCUGAAAGCUUAAAUUUUAAGCGCCAAAAGCUAGAUAUGCAAUUUAGAGUUGACAGCUAUUUUAGACCCAAAACCUUCAAAAAAAUUUCAAAAAAUACUGUGUUAUUCAAGUUUUUCCCUCAGAUUAGUUUCAAUUUCAGGCUGUCAAUUUGAAUGUCUAGCCUAAAUAAGAAGAGAAUGAUCUGAAAUGCAUGUGUUUGAGGUGUUAAAACUUCAGAAGUUUAAUGGAUUCCAUUUCGAGUGUUUUUGGGUUCAAUCAAAGGCUAUUUUUGGUUUAUGUUGGGUUGAUGCAAGUUUGGCUUCCAAAUUAGUCAUGUUGUUAUGGUUUUAUUGUUGUGUUUCGACUGCUAUACUCCUGAAUCAUUGCUGACCCUUCCUUUGUUUCAUUGUAAUUCCAGGUACAUAUAUGAACUUGACUUGGUGUAGAUUUUGAGUGAAAAUGAAACGAAAAGUGUCCUGCACCAGCUCCUUGAACUGUACUUGUUCGGAUUGCUAUGUUUAAUGGUCAAAUGAACCUUAAAUGAUAUGUAGUAGGUUAAUUUAGUUCAUUUUUGGUUUGUACACAUAUAAACUUGGACUGUAUAACUUGGACUGGACUGUUUUCGUGUCUAGUUAAGUGUUUUGAUUAAUUGUAAGCCAUUUGACUGCUGUAUGUAAUAGUUAGAUCUAGA
RNAcentral lists this long non-coding RNA (822 nucleotides) under Nicotiana benthamiana. RNAcentral describes it as "long non-coding RNA (NBEN_LNC019515)". Lineage: Eukaryota; Viridiplantae; Streptophyta; Magnoliopsida; Solanales; Solanaceae. The record is from RNAcentral.